GCAUAACGCGAAGAACCUUACCUACUCUUGACAUCCACGGAACUUUUCAGAGAUGAAUUGGUGCCUUCGGGAACCGUGAGACAGGUGCUGCAUGGCUGUCGUCAGCUCGUGUUGUGAAAUGUUGGGUUAAGUCCCGCAACGAGCGCAACCCUUAUCCUUGUUGCCAGCGGUUAGGCCGGGAACUCAAAGGAGACUGCCAGUGAUAAACUGGAGGAAGGUGGGGAUGACGUCAAGUCAUCAUGGCCCUUACGAGUAGGGCUACACACGUGCUACAAUGGCGCAUACAAAGAGAAGCGACCUCGCGAGAGCAAGCGGACCUCAUAAAGUGCGUCGUAGUCCGGAUUGGAGUCUGCAACUCGACUCCAUGAAGUCGGAAUCGCUAGUAAUCGUAGAUCAGAAUGCUACGGUGAAUACGUUCCCGGGUCUUGUACACACCG
Molecule: ribosomal RNA, 437 nt
Filed under: uncultured bacterium
Lineage: Bacteria
Description: bacterial SSU rRNA
Rfam family: Bacterial small subunit ribosomal RNA
Source: RNAcentral